GAAUAUUAAAAAAGAGAUUAUUAAAAAAUAAUGAGUAUCCGGUCCAUGGAGCAAAAAUAUGGGCAAUACUUGUUUCAAAGGAAGAAUAGGAAUUGCCAACAGGACUAUCCGACUACUUAUGGUUGGACUGGAUAAUGCUGGAAAGACGUGUACAGCUAAAUCUAUUGUUGGAGAAACCUUAGAUAAUGUUGCUCCUACUGUAGGCUUUAAUAAAGUACAACAUAAAUAUAAGGUAACUCAAGUUUAACACAGGAGCAUUGCCCGUUGGAGAAACCUUAGAUAAUGUUGCUCCUACUGUAGGCUUUAAUAAAGUACAACAUAAAUAUAAGGGUUUCCAGAUAACUAUUUAUGAUCUGGGUGGGAGCAAAAGUUUUCGUGGAAUUUGGAAUAAAUACUAUCACGAGGUUCAUGGUUUUAUUUUUGUGAUUGAUAGUUCAGAUGCUUCCAGGAUCCAGGAGUGUAAAGAUGUUCUCAGGGAGAUGUUGAACCAUGAGCUGGUUCAAGGAAAACCUAUUCUGCUUCUCUGUAAUAAAAGUGA
Long non-coding RNA from Eurytemora carolleeae, 538 nucleotides. RefSeq lists it as uncharacterized. The transcript has 6 exons. Lineage: Eukaryota; Metazoa; Arthropoda; Copepoda; Calanoida; Temoridae. The record is from RefSeq and is a predicted model, not a curated record.